AGAAUAUUUUUGAAACAAGGAAACUUCUAAUUUCCUAUAAAGCGGUUAAACUCCGUUUAUAUUCUA
This 66-nucleotide transfer RNA is filed under the name Geothelphusa dehaani. Its description in RNAcentral is "tRNA-Ser". Lineage: Eukaryota; Metazoa; Arthropoda; Malacostraca; Decapoda; Potamidae. The record is from RNAcentral.